GGGAUGGGGAUGCGUCUGAUUAGCUGGUUGGCGGGGCAACGGCCCACCAAGGGUACGAUCAGUAGGGGUUCUGAGAGGAAGGUCCCCCACAUGGAACUGAGACACGGUCCAAACUCCUACGGGAGGCAGCAGUGAGGAAUAUUGGUCAAUGGGCGAGAGCCUGAACCAGCCAAGUAGCGUGCAGGAUGACGGCCCUAUGGGUUGUAAACUGCUUUUAUGCGGGGAUAAAGCGGGCGACGUGUCGCCCCUUGCAGGUACCGCAUGAAUAAGGACCGGCUAAUUCCGUGCCAGCAGCCGCGGUAAUACGGAAGGUCCGGGCGUUAUCCGGAUUUAUUGGGUUUAAAGGGAGCGCAGGCCGGGUAUUAAGCGUGUUGUGAAAUGUAGGCGCCCAACGUCUGCACCGCAGCGCGAACUGGUGCCCUUGAGUACGCACGACGUUGGCGGAAUUCGCCGUGUAGCGGUGAAAUGCUUAGAUAUGGCGAAGAACUCCGAUUGCGAAGGCAGCUGACGGGAGCGCUACUGACGCUCAUGCUCGAAAGCGCGGGUAUCGAACAGGAUUAGAUACCCUGGUAGUCCGCGCGGUAAACGAUGGAUGCCCGUCUAUUGCUCAUUAGAGCAAGUGCCAAGUGAAAACGUUAAGCAUCCCACCUGGGGAGUA
RNAcentral lists this ribosomal RNA (658 nucleotides) under uncultured bacterium. RNAcentral's name for it is "bacterial SSU rRNA". It matches the Rfam family "Bacterial small subunit ribosomal RNA", at positions 222 to 882 of the family's 1533-position model. The record is from RNAcentral.